This 253-nucleotide ribosomal RNA is filed under the name uncultured bacterium. RNAcentral describes it as "partial 16S ribosomal RNA". It matches the Rfam family "Bacterial small subunit ribosomal RNA", at positions 524 to 776 of the family's 1533-position model. The record is from RNAcentral.
UACAGAGGUGGCAAGCGUUGUUCGGAAUUACUGGGCGUAAAGGGCGCGUAGGCGGUUCGUUAAGUCCUGUGUGAAAUCCCCCGGCUCAACUGGGGAACUGCACAGGAAACUAGCGGGCUUGAGUUCGGGAGAGGGAAGCGGAAUUCCGGGUGUAGCGGUGAAAUGCGUAGAUAUCUGGAGGAAUACCGGUGGCGAAGGCGGCAUCCUGGACCAUAACUGACGCUGAGGCGCGAAAGCUAGGGGAGCAAACGGG